This 1313-nucleotide ribosomal RNA is filed under the name Pachyneuron aphidis. RNAcentral's name for it is "16S ribosomal RNA". Lineage: Eukaryota; Metazoa; Arthropoda; Insecta; Hymenoptera; Pteromalidae. The record is from RNAcentral.
AUUUAUUAUAUAUUAAAUAUUAUUAUUUUUGAUUAAUUAUAUUAUUUUAAAAAAAGUAAUUAUAUAAAUUUAAAUUUUAAGUAAUUUUAUAAGAAUUUUAUAAAAAUUUUAUAAAUAAAGUAUUGAAAAAGAAUAUCAUUAAUAUUAUAAAAUAAAAUUUAAUUUAUUUUUACCUUUUGUAUCAGGGUUUAUUAAUUUAAAAUAUAAAAUUAUAUAAUCUCGAAAUAAAUUGAUUUAAUUAAUUAUAUUAAAUAAUGUAAAAUUAUUACUUUAAUAAUAAUUAAUUAGAAGUAAAAUGUUUUCAUAAUUUAUAAUAUCUAGUUAUUAUAUAAAUAAAUUUAAUUUAGUUAAAAUUUUUUUUAAAAUUUAUUAAUUUAUUAAUAAAUUUAUAAUUUUUAAUAAUAAUUUAAGGGAUAAACUUUAAAUUAAUUUUAAUAUAUUAAAUAAAUAUUUUAUUUUUAUACAAAUAUAAAUUUUGUUUAAUAAAUAAUUUGUAAUAAUUAAUAAAAUUAAUAUAUAAUUUAUUUUAUAUUUAUUUAUUUAUAUAAUUAUUUAUUUAAAUUAAUUUAAAUAAAUAAAUAAUGAUAAAAUUAGUAAAUAUUAAAUAAAAAUUAUUAUAUAAUUUAUUAGAUUAAUUUAAGGAAUUCGGCAAAUAAAUUUAUUCACCUGUUUAUUAAAAACAUGGUUUUUUGAUAUUUAUUUAAAAUCUAAUCUGCUCAAUGAAAAUUUAUUUAAAUAGCUGCAGUAUUUUGACUGUACAAAGGUAGCAUAAUCAUUUGUCUUUUUAUUAAAGUCUGGAAUGAAAGAUUGAAUGAAAUAAAAACUGUCUCAAAUUAAUUAUAUUAUUAAAAUUUAUUUUAAGUAAAAAUUCUUAAAUUUUAUAAAAAGACGAGAAGACCCUAUAGAAUUUUAUAAAUAAUUUAUAUUAUUUAUAAUAAAUAAUAAAUAAUAUUAAUUUAUUUAUUUUGUUGGGGUGACAAAAAAAUUAGUUUAAUUUUUUUAAUAUAUUUACAUUAUAAAUGAUUAUAUUAUCCAAUAUUAUUGAAUAUAUAUUAAAUUACCUUAGGGAUAACAGCGUUAAAUUUUUAGAGAGUUCAUAUUGAUAAAAAUUAUUGCGACCUCGAUGUUGAAUUAAAAUAAAUUAUUAUUGAAGAAAAUAAUAUAAUUAAGUCUGUUCGACUUUUAAAAUUUUACAUGAUUUGAGUUUAGAUCGGCGUGAGCCAGAUCGGAUUCUAUCUUUUAUUAUUUAAAAUAUUUUUGUACGAAAGGACUUUAUAUUUAUAAAAUUUAUUAAUUUAUUUUUGAAUAAAAUU